UACAGAGGAGCCAAGCGUUGUCCGGAUUGACUGGGCGUAAAGCGCACGCAGGCGGCCGCGCGCGUGGGGUGUGAAAUCUGGCCGCUUAACGGCCAGGCGCCAUCCCAUACGGCGCGUCUGGAGUGAUGCAGAGGUCGAUGGAAUUGCCGGUGUAGUGGUGAAAUGCGUAGAGAUCGGCAGGAACACCCAGGGGGAAACCAGUCGACUGGGCAUCUACUGACGCUGAGGUGCGAGAGCGUGGGGAGCGAACCGG
This 253-nucleotide ribosomal RNA is filed under the name uncultured bacterium. Its description in RNAcentral is "partial 16S ribosomal RNA". It matches the Rfam family "Bacterial small subunit ribosomal RNA", at positions 524 to 776 of the family's 1533-position model. The record is from RNAcentral.